GUGAGGAAUAUUGCGCAAUGGAGGCAACUCUGACGCAGCCAUGCCGCGUGCAGGAAGAAGGCGCUACGCGUUGUAAACUGCUUUUAACCGGGAAGAAACCCCAGGACGUGUCCUGGGUUGACGGUACCGGAGGAAUAAGCACCGGCUAACUUCGUGCCAGCAGCCGCGGUAAUACGAAGGGUGCAAGCGUUAUCCGGAUUCAUUGGGUUUAAAGGGUGCGUAGGCGGAGCGUUAAGUCAGUGGUGAAAUCCUGCAGCUUAACUGUAGACUUGCCAUUGAUACUGCCGCUCUUGAGUGCGCUUGAAGUGGGCGGAAUGUGCCGUGUAGCGGUGAAAUGCUUAGAUAUGGCACAGAACACCAAUUGCGAAGGCAGCUCACUAAGGCGAUACUGACGCUGAGGCACGAAAGCGUGGGGAUCGAACAGGAUUAGAAACCCCUGUAGUCC
Molecule: ribosomal RNA, 445 nt
Filed under: uncultured bacterium
Lineage: Bacteria
Description: partial 16S ribosomal RNA
Rfam family: Bacterial small subunit ribosomal RNA
Source: RNAcentral